RNAcentral lists this ribosomal RNA (407 nucleotides) under uncultured bacterium. RNAcentral describes it as "partial 16S ribosomal RNA". It matches the Rfam family "Bacterial small subunit ribosomal RNA", at positions 360 to 774 of the family's 1533-position model. The record is from RNAcentral.
AAUAUUUCGCAAUGGAGGAAACUCUGACGCAGCGACGCCGCGUGAGCGAUGAAGGUCUUCGGAUCGUAAAGCUCUGUCCUUGGGGAAGAAGGUCUUCGGACUUGACGGUACCCAUGGAGGCAGCCCCGGCUAACGACGUGCCAGCAGCCGCGGUAAUACGGAGGGGGAAACGGUUGUCCGGAAUUAUUGGGCGUAAAGGGUGCGUAGGCGGCCGUUUAAGUCAGAUGUGAAAGCCCACGGCUCAACCGUGGGAUUGCAUUUGAAACUGGAGGGCUUGAGUAUCGGAGAGGGUAGUGGAAUUCCCAGUGUAGCGGUGAAAUGCGUAGAUAUUGGGAGGAACACCAGUGGCGAAGGCGACUACCUGGACGAUUACUGACGCUGAUGCACGAAAGCUAGGGGAGCAAACA